AGAGGUUGAUCCUGGCUCAGGAUGAACGCUGGCGGCGUGCCUAAUACAUGCAAGUCGAGCGAACAGACGAGGAGCUUGCUCCUCUGACGUUAGCGGCGGACGGGUGAGUAACACGUGGAUAACCUACCUAUAAGACUGGGAUAACUUCGGGGAAACCGGAGCUAAUACCGGAUAAUAUAUUGAACCGCAUGGUUCAAUAGUGAAAGACGGUUUUGCUGUCACUUAUAGAUGGAUCCGCGCCGCAUUAGCUAGUUGGUAAGGUAACGGCUUACCAAGGCAACGAUGCGUAGCCGACCUGAGAGGGUGAUCGGCCACACUGGAACUGAGACACGGUCCAGACUCCUACGGGAGGCAGCAGUAGGGAAUCUUCCGCAAUGGGCGAAAGCCUGACGGAGCAACGCCGCGUGAGUGAUGAAGGUCUUCGGAUCGUAAAACUCUGUUAUUAGGGAAGAACAAAUGUGUAAGUAACUAUGCACGUCUUGACGGUACCUAAUCAGAAAGCCACGGCUAACUACGUGCCAGCAGCCGCGGUAAUACGUAGGUGGCAAGCGUUAUCCGGAAUUAUUGGGCGUAAAGCGCGCGUAGGCGGUUUUUUAAGUCUGAUGUGAAAGCCCACGGCUCAACCGUGGAGGGUCAUUGGAAACUGGAAAACUUGAGUGCAGAAGAGGAAAGUGGAAUUCCAUGUGUAGCGGUGAAAUGCGCAGAGAUAUGGAGGAACACCAGUGGCGAAGGCGACUUUCUGGUCUGUAACUGACGCUGAUGUGCGAAAGCGUGGGGAUCAAACCAGGAUUAGAUACCCUGGUAGUCCACGCCGUAAACG
RNAcentral lists this ribosomal RNA (820 nucleotides) under uncultured bacterium. RNAcentral's name for it is "bacterial SSU rRNA". It matches the Rfam family "Bacterial small subunit ribosomal RNA", at positions 8 to 808 of the family's 1533-position model. The record is from RNAcentral.